RNAcentral lists this ribosomal RNA (797 nucleotides) under Brevibacillus sp. RNAcentral's name for it is "bacterial SSU rRNA". It matches the Rfam family "Bacterial small subunit ribosomal RNA". Lineage: Bacteria; Bacillati; Bacillota; Bacilli; Caryophanales; Paenibacillaceae. The record is from RNAcentral.
UAGUAACCGGUAUAAUGCGGGGUUACCCCGGUGCCUCGUAAUUGGUUCUGAUGCUAAAAGGAAGGGUUUUCUCGGUACCGAAAAUUGUAUUUUUUUAGGACCCACUGCGAGGGGCUUUCGGUUUGCACCGAGCUUGGGGGAAAGGUGGGUCAAACAGUUAGCUCCUUGUUAUCCCGCCCUAAAAAUGAGUGCUAGUGUGGGGGUUACAUACCUCAGUGCGCACGAAGCAAAAGCACCCGCUGGGAGUCGCUCGCAUAGUCCACUGAAUGAAUGAGGGGGCCCCACAGCGGGGAGCUGUGGUUAAUAGAAGGACGGAAGUUCCUACCAGUCUUGCAUGCCGCUGGCGUCCAGAGAUAGGCUUCCUUGGGGCAGCGGUACAGGUGGUGCAUGGUUGUCGUCAGCUCGUGUCGUGAGAUGUUGGGUUAAGUCCCGCAACGAGCGCAACCCUUAUCUUUAGUUGCCAGCAUUCAGUUGGGCACUCUAGAGAGAAUGCCGUCGACAAGACGGAGGAAGGCGGGGAUGACGUCAAAUCAUCAUGCCCCUUAUGGGCUGGGCUACACACGUGCUACAAUGGCUGGUACAACGGGAAGCUAGCUCGCGAGAGUAUGCCAAUUUCUUAAAACCAGUCUCAGUUCGGAUUGCAGGCUGCAACUCGCCUGCAUGAAGUCGGAAUCGCUAGUAAUCGCGGAUCAGCAUGCCGCGGUGAAUACGUUCCCGGGCCUUGUACACACCGCCCGUCACACCACGGGAGUUAGCAACACCCGAAGCGUAUGAGUAUGUCCUGCUCAGAUCAAGCU